This 68-nucleotide transfer RNA is filed under the name Ixodes barkeri. RNAcentral describes it as "tRNA-Ile". The record is from RNAcentral. Lineage: Eukaryota; Metazoa; Arthropoda; Arachnida; Ixodida; Ixodidae.
AAUAAAAUGCCUGAACUUAAAGGAUUAUCUUGAUAGGAUAAAUUAUGUGUUUUAUAACACUUUUAUUA